This 368-nucleotide ribosomal RNA is filed under the name uncultured bacterium. RNAcentral describes it as "bacterial SSU rRNA". It matches the Rfam family "Bacterial small subunit ribosomal RNA", at positions 46 to 404 of the family's 1533-position model. The record is from RNAcentral.
GCCUAACACAUGCAGUCGAGCGGCAGCACAAGUAAGUACUUAUGAGGUGGCGAGCGGCGGACGGGUGAGUAAUGCCUAGGGAUCUGCCCAGUCGAGGGGGAUAACAGUUGGAAACGACUGCUAAUACCGCAUAUCGUCCCUACGGGGGAAAGAGGGGGACCUUCGGGCCUCUCGCGAUUGGAUGAACCUAGGUGGGAUUAGCUAUGUUGGUGAAGGUAAUGGCUCACCAAGGCGACGAUCCCUAGCUUGUUCUGAGAGGAUGAUCAGCCACACUGGGACUGACGACACGGCCCAAGACUCCUACGGGAGGCAAGCAGUGGGGAAUAUUGCACAACUGGGGGAAACCCUGAUGCAGCCAUGCCGCGUGU